GUGCGGCGCUGGGACUGCAGCUGGCGGAGUGAAUUCCUGGGCCAGCGCGCAUGCGUCGGCAGGUAGCAACCCAGCUCUUUAUGACCAGGUGAGAUGUUGGUGAGCAGGUAAAAAAGGAGGAUUUGCCUAAGCGAUUCCAGGGAGCUGGCCCGACCGAGCCCUCCAGCCCAUGCCCGGCGGGGACCAGUCGCCAGGAGCGCAGAGCCGCGAUGUCCAUACUUGCCAAAAUGGGGGACUGGCAGGACCGUCACGACGGCACCAGCAACGGGACGGCACGGUUGCCCCAGCUGGGCACUCCUGAACCCCCUGCACGCCCAGCCGCAGCCGCAGCACCCAGGCUGGCCCGGCCAGAGGCAGAGCCAGGAGUCUGGGCUCCUGCACACGCACCGGGGGCUGCCUCACCAGCUGUCGGGCCUGGAUCCUCGCAGGGACUACAGGCGGCACGAGGACCUCCUGCACGGCCCACACGCGCUCAGCUCAGGACUCGGAGACCUCUCGAUCCACUCCUUACCUCACGCCAUCGAGGAGGUCCCGCAUGUAGAAGACCCGGGUAUUAACAUCCCAGAUCAAACUGUAAUUAAGAAAGGCCCCGUGUCCCUGUCCAAGUCCAACAGCAAUGCCGUCUCCGCCAUCCCUAUUAACAAGGACAACCUCUUCG
This 658-nucleotide non-coding RNA is filed under the name Pan troglodytes (chimpanzee). The record is from RNAcentral. Lineage: Eukaryota; Metazoa; Chordata; Mammalia; Primates; Hominidae. RNAcentral also lists the same sequence under 1 other name.